CUCCAGGCUGCCAUAGGGGCUCCUGCGGUUUCUGCAGGGAUAAAAAGGGUUCUGAAAGGUUUUCUGUGCUUUCCUUGCCUCUCGUCCUGAAUGUGGCUAAAAGCAGCAACAUCUGUGUUCCUCCUAUGAGAUGCACACUGGAUGGAUAUAUUAAUAAAGCCUGGAUUGGAAAGAGGCCAGAGUGGGUGGGAUAGGCUCAAAAAGUGUGGUCAGCUGUGGGGCUGAGCCAGGUUCCUGUGCUCAGAAUAGUCAAGUGGGAGGAAGGUAGGCGCAAGAGUGUGAGUGAAAAGUGUGUGUGUGUGUGUGUGUGUGUGUGUGUGUGGUGGUCCAAGACAGGUAGGACAAAGGGCCUUGAAAAUAGCAGGGUGCUGAUAACAAUACCGGAGAGCCUAAGGCUUCCCAGGGGCUGGAACAAAUGGGUGUUUCAAGACUGUGCCUGCUUUCCCUUCACCUUCUGCUAUGAUUGCAAGUUUCCUGAGGCCUCUCCAGCCAUGUCUCCUGGAAAAUCUGUCGAACUGUGAGUCGAUUAAACCUCUUUUCUUUAUUAGUUACCUAGUCUGAGGUAGUUCUUUAUAGCAGCGCGAAAAUAAUAAAAAUGGAGUCUUACUGUGUUACCUAGGCUGAUCUCAACUUCUGGGCUCUAGCAAUCCUUCUGCCUUGGCCUCUCAAAGCUCUGAGACUACGGGUGUGUUACCACCAUGCCCAGCUAAUUAAAAAUAAUUUUUGGAAUGGCAGUCUUGCUAUGUUACCCAGGCUGGAGUGCAGUGAUGCGAUCAUAACUCAUUGCCGCCUCAAACCCUUGGGCUCAAGUGAUCCUCUCACCUUGGCUUCCUGAGUAGCUGGGACUAUAGGCAUGCACUAGUGAGUGCAGCUCCAUAAUUUUUAAAAAUUAGGCCUUUGUGAGGGUUGAGGCUAAUGCACAUGGACUCUUCCAGAAUAGUAAAGGUGAGGCAAAUGCUUACUCUAGAUUGAGAGGGUUGGACUCCAUAACCUCUAAGGCACCUUUCAGCUCUUAGUUCUUAGGGUCCCCCGACCUCUGUUUCUAAGCCUUCUGCUUGAUACCUUUUUUCUCCUAGAUGUCCUCAUCUCCCACCUGCAGGUGAUUCCCACCUGCCACUCAGGUUCAAUACAGGCUGGGCUGCCAUGUGAAAGACCUUUGAAGGGAAAAUCCUGUUUAUCAAAUUAGCUGAAUUAUCAAAGCCUGACUACCACACAAGGAAUCAGAUGCUAAUUAAUGAACAGCCUACACAGCUCCAUUGCCAAUUUGCAUAAAUAUGCAUUGUCAAACUGUUAGGUAAACAAAAGCCAGAUAACUGCCAGGGAGCCAGAGUGAUUAUGCCAGGGCUCUCCUAGUGAGCCUUUGCAAUAGGGAUUACAGCCUCCGUGAUUUUUUUUUAAAGUCAUCCUUUAUUUUUCUUUUUCCACACCCUCCCUCCUCAUUCUGGUUAAGGUUCACCUCUCUUUCCAUUAUCAGCUACCAAACACAACACGAUGGAAACCAAGACAGGGUUGGCCCUCCAUUGAGCAAGAUGCCUUUCCUCAGCCACUUAACAUUGCCUGGGUCUCUUGCAUCUGGUUUAGAGACAGAGGGAGAGAGACUAGUAUGAGGUUGUCCCUGCCCCUCACCCCCAUCUCAAAUGAAGAUACAAGAAGCAUGGGGGUGUAGCCAUAAAACUUGUCUGAUGGAUGGUUUUAAUCCUUGCUAAUUACAGCUAAUUGGAGCUGUCAAUUGUUUACAAUCCUGACUGACACAGGGAGGUCAGGUGAUUCAAACUUACUCAACUGUAGAUAGAGUAAUUAGAUGCAUUGAAGUUAUUAAGUAUGAAGGAAGGGGGAAGCUCUCACUUCCUUGUGCAUAAGGAAUCUCAGAAGAUGAAGCUGUGCUGAAGCCAGAUGUUUCCCGGAGAAGAAGUGAGAUCUGGCAGCCUCAACCAUCAUCCGUCUCUGAGAAUCAGCAGUGGCAGCACGGACAGUAUCUGUCAGUUCAUUUCCGGAAAUAUUUAUUGAGUAUCUGUGCUGUGCUAGGUGCUGUAGGAGGCAGGAUUCUGGCCCUGGAGGAGAUCCCUGUUUUGCUAGAAAGAUAAACACAACCAAAUAUCUAUCUGUGGCUGGGUGAGCACCUAA
This 2124-nucleotide long non-coding RNA is filed under the name Callithrix jacchus (white-tufted-ear marmoset). RNAcentral describes it as "lncRNA (ENSCJAG00000070891.1)". The record is from RNAcentral. Lineage: Eukaryota; Metazoa; Chordata; Mammalia; Primates; Cebidae.